UCUCCACCGCAACGACGGCCCGACGGGCUGCGCAGGGCAUUGUGGGAAAUGUAGUCUCGCGCCGCCGUGGUUCCCGCGGAGGUUUCUGGGCGGGGCUUCCGCGAUCUGCGCGUCCGGAAGUUUCUGCGCGUCCGGAAGUUUCGGCGUCUCCGGAGCGCUGCGGCGCCCUGAGGCAGCGUGUGGCGGGCUCUGGCCAGGAGAUUCCCGGACCCCGGCAGCCGCCUCCGUCCUCUGUGCUGGACCCCAGCGCCCCCCAGCGCCGCUCCCGAGCCCUCGCGCGUCUGUGAGAGCAGCGACCAUGGACGAAUCUCUGGAACCCUUGACCUGCAGAGAUGUGCCAUCGAAUUCUCACACAAGGAGCAGGAGGUCCUGGACCAGCUGCAGUGGAAAUUGUACAGGGACGUGAUGCUAGAGGCCUACAGAAAUGUGGUGUCC
Long non-coding RNA from Talpa occidentalis (Iberian mole), 435 nucleotides. RefSeq lists it as uncharacterized. NCBI's taxonomy places the organism in Eukaryota, Metazoa, Chordata, Mammalia, Eulipotyphla, Talpidae. The transcript has 3 exons. The record is from RefSeq and is a predicted model, not a curated record.